Molecule: ribosomal RNA, 800 nt
Filed under: uncultured haloarchaeon
Lineage: Archaea; Methanobacteriati; Methanobacteriota; Halobacteria; Halobacteriales; Halobacteriaceae
Description: bacterial SSU rRNA
Rfam family: Archaeal small subunit ribosomal RNA
Source: RNAcentral
UGCACGAGUUCAGACUCGUGGCGCAUAGCUCCGUAACACGUGGCCCAAACUACCCUUCGGAGCACGAUAACCUCGGGAAACUGAGGCUAAUAGUGCAUAUCACACUCACUCUGGAGUGAGGAGUGUGUCAAAUGCUCCGGCGCCGAAGGAUGUGGCUGCGGCCGAUUAGGUAGACGGUGGGGUAACGGCCCACCGUGCCGAUAAUCGGUACGGGUCAUGAGAGUGAGAACCCGGAGACGGAAUCUGAGACAAGAUUCCGGGCCCUACGGGGCGCAGCAGGCGCGAAACCUUUACACUGCACGCCAGUGCGAUAAGGGAAUCCCAAGUGCACAGGCAUAGAGCCUGUGCUUUUCUGAACCGUAGGGAGGUUCAGGAACAAGGGCUGGGCAAGACCGGUGCCAGCCGCCGCGGUAAUACCGGCAGCCCAAGUGAUGGCCGAUUUUAUUGGGCCUAAAGCGUCCGUAGCUGGCCGCGCAAGUCUAUCGGGAAAUCUAUCCGCUCAACGGAUAGACGCCCGGUGGAAACUGCGUGGCUUGGGACCGGAAGGCGCGAAGGGUACGUCCGGGGUAGGAGUGAAAUCCUGUAAUCCUGGACGGACCGCCGAUGGCGAAAGCACUUCGCGAGGACGGAUCCGACAGUGAGGGACGAAAGCUAGGGUCUCGAACCGGAUUAGAUACCCGGGUAGUCCUAGCCGUAAACGAUGCCUGUUAGGUGUGGCUCCCACUACGAGUGGGUGCUGUGCCGUAGGGAAGCCGCUAAACAGGCCGCCUGGGAAGUACGUCCGCAAGGAUGAAAUUCAA